Long non-coding RNA from Prosopis cineraria, 3605 nucleotides. RefSeq lists it as uncharacterized. NCBI's taxonomy places the organism in Eukaryota, Viridiplantae, Streptophyta, Magnoliopsida, Fabales, Fabaceae. The transcript is spliced from 4 exons. The record is from RefSeq and is a predicted model, not a curated record.
CACACGGCCAUGUGAUGGGCCUUUCCUCUUCUUUACUUGUAGAGCUUCAAGCUUAUCAAUGGCCGAAAAUCCACCGUUGCAAUGGUUCAAAUUUACCAAGUGUCAAAAUAAAUGCACACAUUUUUCUUUUGGUAAAAAGGCAAAUAUAUUAACAAAUAUAUUGCACUAUACUCUUCUGAGCUCUACAGCUGAUGAAGACUUGCAAGGACCGAAGGAUACCCUAAUCCAAGAGGUGAUUUCAUGUAAGGCAGAAGCAGAUUCCCUUAUUGUUCCAAACAUGCAAGAUUUCCAGAUUUAGCCAAUCUUGAAAGAGCCUUUGAGAGAAAUUUUGAAUCCAAAGUAGAAGAGUCCAAAAACAGAGAGUCAGAAAAAGGUGGGGAGAUAUAGUUUCAGGUAAGUGGAAAAAUCACUGUAGUACGAUCUUCUCCAUCGAGAGACAAAUGAACAGCACAGUGCGCCUUUUUUCCGUUUCUUGAAUAAGUGAAGCUUGAUUCUCCAAAUAGAAAGAUCAAGUUGAAUAUGAGGCCAAAGCAAAAAAGGUUUGCUUGGCCAAGAAAGCCAGAUUCAUGUGCUUAGUGUUCCUUAAGCCAAGACCACCCUUUUUGGUAGAGGUAAAAAGAAUUUCCCUUUUUGGCAAAAUGAAUGCUUUUCUUACCAUCAUUAUAUUCCCACAAGAAAUCAAUGAGCUUUGCAUCAAUGGUAUCACAAAGAUGGUUAGGAAGUUUAAUACUAGAGAGAAUGUGAAUAUUAUAUGAAUAUAAGAUAAGAUGUGAACAGACACAUCCUUAUGAAAAAAUAUUUUUAAAUAUAUGAAUACAAGUAUAUGCAUGCAUUUGUAUAUGUAUAAAUGACAAUUUUUCUUCUAAACCUCGACAUUUAAAAACAUCAUAAUAUGCCUCUCUUGUUAAUUACAAGAAUAUUGACUGACAAGCUCUAUGAGAAAAAAUGUGGGCUUCACAACAUUAGACUAGCAGACAUCACCUAUAAUUAACUGGAAGGGAAAUAUUAUUAUGUUUUUAAAUGUUGAAGGAAAAAUUGAAAAAAAAAAGGAUAUUAGAUGCUCUUAAAUCUAUAAUUUAAGGGUCAAAUUUUUCUUUUAUCCUAUGCAUACGUAUGUACAUGUAUCAACCAGUUCAUGAAUAUAUUCUAAAUCCUGCAAUUGCAUGGUUGGAUCCAUUUUGAUAAUGGGAGCAUGGUUAUAUAUUGUUAACAUAUAAUUAUCAAUUAAUCAUUAAAAUAAGCAAUCAUAUUUUGCAUAUAACUGGGUGUACAGGGAACCAGAUAAACUCACAAAUUCUUAAAAAACAAAAAAAACAAAAAACAUAUUUCUACUUUCUUUUUUUUCCAAUUAUCAUAAGUAUAAUUGAUUACUCUUUUCUUUCUUGAACGCAUGAAUUUUUUGUUUUGGCCAUAAAUACAUCUCAGAUACACUUUUAAAAAGAUAAGUAGAGAUCACAUGGCCAAACUACAGUGGGUCUCGUAUGUGUCAAUGAGAGGCUUUAAAUCCCAAUCCGUACUUCUUGAGAUUUUGUCCCAACAAUGCCAAUAAAUCAAGAAAAAAAAAUGACUUCGAUGAUUAAAAAAAUACAGGUACACAUGCUAAGAAGACCAAACCAAUUAUGAAGCAAUGAUACUGAAAAGCAAAAGACAAAAACAAAAAAACAAAAACAAAAACAUAGCUUGUUUUAUAUGUAUAUAAAUAUGUUCAUUGAGUAGUGUCUUCUAUCCACGCUACAAUCUACUUAAGAUAAACAAACAAGUUUCCACUAUUAUCUUCUUCUCAAAUGGCCAUAUGUGCAUUGAUAACUUGGCCUGAAUAGGUCAUGAAAACUGAAUAAGAGAGAAAGCAAAAAAACCAUUAACCAUGUUUCUUUUAUCAUAGCAUUCUGAAACUUUGACCGGUAACACCUAUGUUUUCUUUUAGAGGCAUGAAAAUUAAUCAGUGUACAGGGCAACCAUCUACUGCUAUGCCUUUAGCAGUAGGACAUGUUGCAAGAGGACAGUGUUCACCACCAGUUCCCCACCAAGUGAUACUCUUGUUCUCAAGUCCUACUGAGAAGUAUAUCAAUACAGCCAUGAAAGCAACCCCAGCAUCAAGUGCUGCAGAUAGCACAUAGUUGUACCUCUGCCACCAUUGCUUCCUGUAACGGAAGACGAAGAAGUUGAAGAUGGUUCCAACAGUAAUCCAUGCAUUGUAGUUCAAUGAUGUUGCAGGUGGCAUAGCUCCUGUUGCUCCUAGUAGGACUGGAAAGUUGAUCAGUGGAAUCCAUGAUUGGUUAGGAAAUGCCAUGUGCAAUAGCCAAACAAGUAUGGGACCUAGUGCUCCUCCAAGGAAGAACCAGUUCAUUGCACUGUAGUUUCCCUCAGAACCAAAGAUUUUCUUUGGUCCUACUAGACCCCAAAUGACUGAUGCGUCGAAGAAGACGCGAUCACCAGGACAUGUCCAUGGACUGUCUGGAGGGAGAACUUCAUCUUGGCAAAUGUUCUUGAUGGAUGUCAGUAGCCACCAUGCUACACCAGCGUUGAUGGUUCCAGCCAUCAUAGUACCAAUGAACUAUUCAGAUAUGAAAAAAAUGGGGUGUAUCAUCAGAGACUGUAGGAAAAUGCAAUAUUAAUAUACCUUAAGCAGGACUGUGUCCCUAACAAGUAACAUCUGAUAUACUUUAUGAUACUGAUAGGGAGGGUAAAAAUGAAAGCAAUGGCUGAAGCAAAAAUAAGUCCCCACCAAGGCAUUUGAACCUGAUCGUUCAGAAAGAUGCAUAGAACCAGAGAAAAUACAAAUGUCACACCCAGCAACAAAUAAAACCACCAUGAAGUAUCGGAAAAGAGAGACUCACCUUCCAUAGAAACAUGCAACAUGUGUUAGGGUGGCUGCUAUCGUGGCAAAUCCAAAACCAUAAGUGAGAGUAAAGAACACACUCAGAUGAAUCCUGCCUUGAGCUUCAUACUCAGCAACGUUAAGCUCAAACUUGUCGUUGACAAUGGCUGUUAUGUUGUACAGUUGACCUUGAGAUGUGAACAAAUGUGAAGAGAAAAUAGGAAACCUAUUGGCAUUAUACACAUUUAGGCCCCAGUAAGCCAGAGGAAUCACAAUAUACACUAUCACUGCAUAGCCAACGAAGACAUUGACAAUGGAGAAGAAGGGUGAGAUGAGAGGGCUAAACAAGAAAGAUGCCACAGCAGACCAGUCCAGUGUUAUGGCUCCGAGUCCUAGACCUUUCAUGCCAGACCCUAACUGCUGAGCUGUGACUGACUUGGAGAAUAUCCAGCAGAUCCAUGAUAUGCUUGUGAGAGUUGAGAACAAGUAUCCAGGGACUAAGUACCACGAAAAACUGCAGGCUAGUGCAACGAAGAAGAAUUUUGCCCUUGUUAGUCGUUGAUCGUCUUUCUCAUGUAAAGCUCUGCAUUAUGUACAUGAAUGUGUGAAACUUCAAUGGAUAAAGAUGCAUGUUAAGAUGCAUUGCUAUAUUACUAGAAAUCAUAAAAUUUUAAGAACAGGAAGAUGAGAAAAGUUGGUAUGGAACAGAUGAGACCAAAAACAGAGGAAGCUAGAUUACCAAUCAGUUUAUUGAUAAGGAUUAUGGACUAAAGGGGCGAUUCUAUCA